GGUUUAUGAUGAUAAGUUGUAGGGCUUGUUUCUCAAAACAUUCGCAGUGGCCACCUGAGAGCUUUCGCUUUUCUCCGGGCUUGAGAGUAUGUGCUGCUUUUAUCCUUCCUUGGAUGUCUGAGACC
This is a non-coding RNA of Gossypium raimondii (Peruvian cotton), 125 nucleotides long. Lineage: Eukaryota; Viridiplantae; Streptophyta; Magnoliopsida; Malvales; Malvaceae. The record is from Rfam.